Long non-coding RNA from Varanus komodoensis (Komodo dragon), 1012 nucleotides. RefSeq lists it as uncharacterized. The record is from RefSeq and is a predicted model, not a curated record. Lineage: Eukaryota; Metazoa; Chordata; Lepidosauria; Squamata; Varanidae. The transcript is spliced from 3 exons.
UCAGAACUAUGAGAUGCCCAUUCUUCCAACACCAUCAGGAUUCACUAGGAAGAAUGCCUUAAAAUUAAGAAUUUAAGAAAAUAUAUCAAGUAGGUAAAGACAGAGGAGCUGCAGAAUGUCUUUGGAUCUAUAGCACUAUCUGACUGGAGGCACUCAGGAUGAAGAUAACCUGGAGGGUGGACCAUCCAUGAGGUGGAAGGACCUGGUUAAGACUUUUUCCUCACAAGGAGAGGCUGAAAUAGGAGCUGCCAAGGGUGCCAUCCUCCAGGGGUUCAGUGACAAGAGCCACCUGGCGUCGUUCCUCCCCUUCACCUGUGGAACCUGCUUGUUCACAUGCUACUUUCUCUGGCUCAGACAACGGAGGGAGUGAGAAGAGGAUGGAGGUGCCAUGGUCAGUUUGCUUACUGGCUCUGUGCCAGGCAGGCAGGCAGGCAAGUAAGUGGUGACAGUGAAGAGGAAGAGGAGAAGCUGGUGACAAUGGUGACAAGAAGUUCGCUCACUAUGGGAAGGGGCCCACUGAGGGUGUCUUGCCCAAGGAUCUUCAAAAGCCUGGAAGCAGCACUGGUGAUAGCUAAGGCUGGCUAGAGGCCAUCUGGCAGUGUUUCCUGCAAAAGCUGGUCCCUUCUUCUCUGGCUCAUUCCAGCUGGUCCAUCUGACUGAUUUUAUCUAAAAAGGUGGAUAUUUUUCCUGUUCAGAUUUUUUAAAUUCUCCUUCUUUGACUUUAAUAUCACUGGUUUGAAUAUAAUCCUAGUAUAUAGUUAUGAAUGUGAGAUAUUCCUAUGCUUAUAACUAUUUACAUCUUGUUACAAUCUGAAGCUGUUAGUUAAUUAGAAAUGUUGCAACAUUUUAUUGUGUCAUCACAAUAAAGCUACUUGGAACAUAAUUUCAUCAUGGAAAAGUGGCAUACAAAUUGACUAAUGGCAAUGAAGAAAAGGAGAACAAGAAACUUGCAGAAAGGAGACAAAACAACAGACCAAAUAAACUCAUCUUUUGGGUUUGUUUCUUUAAAGUA